ACUGGUAAAAUGUGAUGUACCUAGUAAUAUUAGUAAUUAAUAUGAGAUUAACUAAGUUAAUUAAAAUUCUAAGUAGGUAUGUGAUUAUGACAAUAUCUGCUGAGGUCUUGACCAAGUCACGUGCCAGCAGUCGCGGUAAUACGUGGAAGACAAGUGUUAUUCAUCUUUAUUGGGUUUAAAGGGUACCUAGACGGUUAAUUAAGCAAUGAGAUGUACUAAUUAACUAGAGUUUAAUGUAAGAAGGAUUGAGUACGGUGAGUGUAGAGAUAAAAUUCUUUGAUACCACUUAGGAACUGGUAACGGCGAAGGCGACCUUCAAUGUAAAAACUGACGUUAAGGGACGAAGGCUUGUAUGAAAUAAUAGGAUUAGAUACCCUAGUAUUGUGAGCAGAAAAUGAUGAGUGUCAUACACAAGAUAUUUUUUGUGUAUAAAUGAAAGUGUAAGCACUCCACCUCAAGAGUAACGUGGCAACAUGGGAACUGAAAUCAUUAGACCGUUUCUGAAACUCGUAGUGAAGUAUGUUGUUUAAUUCGAGGGUACACAAAUAACCUUACCACAAUUUGAAUAACUAAUAAUUUACAGUGCUAAUCACUGUGAUAUAGUAACAAGCGUUGCACGGCUGUCUUCAGUCAAUGUUGUGAAACUUUGGUUAGAUCCAUUAAAUUGACGUAAACCCUUACUUUAUUUAUUAUAAAGUAGUUCGCCGCU
This 709-nucleotide ribosomal RNA is filed under the name Ocellularia sp. Lumbsch 19082a. RNAcentral describes it as "SSU rRNA". It matches the Rfam family "Bacterial small subunit ribosomal RNA", at positions 380 to 1139 of the family's 1533-position model. The record is from RNAcentral. Lineage: Eukaryota; Fungi; Ascomycota; Lecanoromycetes; Ostropales; Graphidaceae.